UGUGUUGGCAGCAGAGGUAUUCACAGUAACAGUGAACUUGAGGUUGUUUGUUUGUUCUCACUCAGUGUGUCGUUGACUGUUUGCUUGUCUCUGUUGCUGGUAUCGGAGAUGGGUAAUUUGGACCCGAGGGCAGAUAACACCAUGAGCAAAUGUUGGAUAAACACAAUUUUAAAUGUGAUCAUCCGAAUGAACAAAGAACAUUGGAUUGAAAUUAAUGUUGGGGAAAGAUUUUGUAUUUUAUGAAGCCCAAAAGAUGCAUCUACCGAUCCUUAUGCUUGAUUAUGUCACGUUGCUUCCGAGGCGAUGAAAAAUCGCCUCGUGCACAACAAAAAUAACGAGGUGGAUCCCAGGAAAAAAGCAGACACGAAAAGGUCUUGUAUGAAAAACAAAGGGUUUUAAUACGAACAGAAAGAGCCCAACAGGGAAAACGGUAACAGAAAACGCUGGUCAAAUAAGGACCAGGAAAUAAGGAAAAACAACCGAAAACGCUCGCGAAAAAACAAAGAGCGAGGAAGUAUUGAGAUCAUUAAUCUAGAGCAAUAAUAAUUUGGAUGAAACGCGAAUAUCAAUAGUAGUGGCCGUAAGGCAAAAAGGCAGCGAGUAAAUUCGAACGAUCAAAAAGCGAGAGAGAGCAAUGGCACGGUAAGGAAUUCUCCGGCAGUGAGAGGACUGCCGGAGUCUCAUAAUAAAGGAGGGUAAUCAGCCCGAAAUUACGAACAGGUGUGCAGAACAGGCGGAGGAAAAAACCCGCCACCUGCUGGCGGGCACUCGACGUGACAUAUUAAUUGUCCUUAGCAGGAAAAGGAUGAUGAAAAAUCCACAUUGUAUAUAUUUUAUACGUGUGUGUGUGUGUGUGUGUGUGUGUGUGUGUGUGUGUGUGUGUGUGUGUGUGUGUGUGUGCGUGUGCGUGUGCGCUAUGUCAAAAUUUGUAGGCUUCAUCCUCCAAAGGCCGAAUUUGUCUGCCACAUGAUGUAACUUCCAGUGUCUCUCGACCGCAACCUGGUGUCCAAAUUCACACGGCCUUUGAAUCUGGCUCUUUCUUCCUUUUGCUUUCAUGCAGGAAUCAAAUUUCAGACCCACAGAAUCUGUUGGAACACCCAACGACUAAUUCUGUAUUUGCCCAUAUGAAUUGAAACUGCUAGAUCAAGUAAACAUGAUGUUGCCUAAUGGACUUUUCAAACUUCAUCUCCUAGGUGUUUAUGCGACUGGACACCUUUGAAGGACUUGUAUCGUAUAAUUCAUUCCACUAAGUUAGUUCCACUGAGUCAUGCAUUUAACAUCUAUUACAAAAUUAGUACAAUCUGGUUCGAGAUGCUGCUGUAUUCUACAAAUCUCAUUUAUGGAACAUCGGCUUCUUCCGAAAACAAGUCACUUGUACAAAAUUGGCCAACAGUUGUUGUAUCAGGAGACUGAUUGUUAAUUUGCGCAAGUGGGCAAUUGCGGCUGGUUGGUGUAAAGUAGUUAUCCAUACAAGUUGUUACUUUUUUCUUUGUUGGUCAAUCACUUGCCGGAAGGGAGUCAAAUUAGUUCGAAAAAAGCUCGGAUUCAGAUGGCGCGAUGUGUACACCAUUGUGUAAUUGACAGAUGAAUUUAGGUUUGUUGGAGUUACUCUAAGAAAGAUUGUGCAACCCACAACACACAUUGCUUAUUAUCAGUCUCCGACUCAGAUUAUCGUCUGGUAGGAAGGAAUUCCACUCCAACAUUCUGUCUCGUUACGUGUUAAUAAUCGCAAUUCAAUAGCUUUGAAAGCUACUUCUGUCGAUGAUUUUGGGGGGGGGGGGGGUUCUUGAUUUUUCCUGCCUGCUCAAAACUGACCACUUCCUUGUCCUGUCACAGUCUUUGCACUAAAAAGUAGUCUCUCGGAACAGUCUUCCAAAUCUCUCCAUGAGAAGAGAAUAUUACUCCUGACCCAGGGUGCCCAGAAUGCUUUCUAACGGAUUUAACAUUUUGGGGGUUUUUUCCACAUCUUCAUUCGCAUGCACAAAAGAAUAACACCAGCUACAAGGUUUUAACAUUUUUUUUCCAUAUCUAGCGUUAGUGCCUGUGAUGCUCCUGUUAGAUAGUGUUUCCCAAUCUCUCUUGCGUAUCCCAUUUUCAUCCUAGCAUCAACAUUUUUCCUUUGCAAGGGCUAUCAAUACCACCAGGGUAGAUGCACAGUAGGGGACAGAAAAAAAAAGACAUGAUGCUGGAUAAAACCAAGGUCUCCCGAACAAGAAACCCCAACAGGUGUCAAGAAGACGCUCCCAACAGAAGCUGCCUCUUCGCAUUAUAUUUUGGACUAUGAAAUGCUCUUUGCUCGGUCAAGACUUUUCCUUUGGUAACUUUUCUUAACCAACUGCUACGUAUUAGUGAUGUGUUUGUUUUGUAUUUAAACUCAAAAUGAAUCAUUUCAGACUGUCAAUGAUAUAAUGGUUGAACUUUGUUCAGCUAAUCCCAAAAAAAAUUCAAGGCAUAAAGUUGCUGCUCAGCUAAAUUCAAUUCUAAGGGGGUCUGCGACUGUAUAUGGUUAACAACUCCGUAAUAAGAGUUCAACAUUAUUGGGGGAAUUGAUGGGGCGGAUUUAAUUACUUAUGUCGUUUAGAAUCAUCUGGCUCUUCCAGCUGUUUUGAAAAAUCGUUUUAAUGUCAUUGUCAACAGAAAAAAAAAAGAAAUCGGGCCUCCAUCCAUUCCACAGUCACACGGUGGACAUAUUUUUUUAUGCUGUUUGUUGCACAAAACAUUUUCAAGAAGCCUUCUGCACUGUGUAAAAAGAUUAUGCUCUUAGGAGGGGAAGGGGGGGGGGGGAAGCGAGGCAGUCCGCACAUCCAGUCCAAUGGUUUUUGAAUUGUGACUUGUAAAUACUUUUUCAUACAGCUUUUUGAUAGUGUUUUAAUUGUAUCUGUUAAAAAAUAAAUAAAUACAAAAAUAGAUGUACAUAAACCUCUGAUGGGAGAAAAAAAGUGUAGAAUAUAUGAAUUUAUUUGUACACAAGAACACUGGAUUUCUUUACUACUUGAUUGUAACUAAAAUUAAUAAUCUGCCAAAGUGUUUUUAUUUGACUUUUUUCCUGUUGUCUGUUCCAUAUGUUUGCUUUUUAACAGGACUGCAGAGUUUAUGUUCAUACUGUAUUUAAUUCUGUUGAAUAGAUUUUGUUGUGUGUGUGUAUAUUUAAAAGGGGGUUCUCCUUUUUAAUUUAUUGGUGCCUUGUUUUGUGCUCCUGUAUACUUUUACUCUGUCUUUCCUGUGUUCUGUGUCUGUAGGAGAACAGAUGGGAUUACCUGGUGGGAUAGUCGGGGGGGAAGGGCCGUGGGAGUUUACACCUUAGCAACUUCUGUACUCACAUCUGUUCCGUAUGCCAAAAUGGUCUCACUCACGUUUCUAUGAAAUCAAGCUGUUCAUAAAUAUCUCUAUAUAUUGAUAUAAUAAAUUUGUAAAAACUG
This is a long non-coding RNA of Hippocampus zosterae (dwarf seahorse), 3419 nucleotides long. RefSeq lists it as uncharacterized. NCBI's taxonomy places the organism in Eukaryota, Metazoa, Chordata, Actinopteri, Syngnathiformes, Syngnathidae. The transcript has 3 exons. The record is from RefSeq and is a predicted model, not a curated record.